UCCAGAUGCUGGAAUAAAGUCACUAAGUGGCUCUUGAGCAGUUGACUUAUUCUCAGCAGAGUCCCAGGCAGUGGAUCUGUGGAAGGACAGAAAGGAAUGUGCGGAACUGGUGAAGAGCAAGAUAUUGUAAUUGAACCCCAGGCAGGCACUGGACUGCAUCCCCAUAAUCCCAACUACAUGGAAGGCCGAGGCACUGAGGAUCUCAAGUUGGAAACUGCAUUUUGAUUCUGAAGUACUAUUUUGGACACCUCAAAUCUGAGAAACUUCUAAAGCAAGGGAUCAUAUCAGAGAUGCCAAAGACAGGGAAAUGGAAAGAAAAAAGUGAACUGAAAAAACCCGACGGUAUUAUUUCUUUCUGUUCAGUGUUGAUAAAAAUGGUAAAAAGAGGGUUUUAUUACAUAUAACUAAAAAGAACCAAUUAAAGUGUGGAAAAAAACUGUUCCUUUGCAUAGUCAAAUGAUAGGCAGGGGAAUAUAAUGUCACCAGAAAUUACUAUAGCAGAUUUCAAUAAAGGACUACAGAACAAUGAAGCCUUGUUAAUCCCAUACUGGGUUAUUCAAAUAGUGUGUAAUUCAAAGCAAUUGCUGCUCCCCAGGCAGGAAUUUACAAUUGCCACAUUUGAAGGGAGGAUAAUGUGUCAUUCCAAGGGGAAACCAGGUCUGGAAAGGGCCUCAUGGUUGGAGAACCUCAUGUGUCCCAAAACAGCUCUGAAGCAGGCCAAGUAAAACAAAGUGACUGAGAACCGCCCUGUGAAGUCAGUCAGCUUCACACUCAUCUGUAUUUCCCUUGCUCUCUCCUGCCUUUUUGUUGAAUGACAAAAUGUUCCCAAAGCAAGGAGCAAGAGGGGAAGGCAGAUAAAUUUAAGAACUGGAUAAGUUAUCACGUGGAAAGUGAAUCUUUUGCUUCCUGGUAAGGGCUUACAAGUUUGCUCAUGAGAACUUCAUCAUACGUGUAUGGACUGUGUGUAUAAUUAAUUAAUAACGAUAAUGAACACAGAGA
Sciurus carolinensis (gray squirrel) is the source of this 999-nucleotide long non-coding RNA. RefSeq lists it as uncharacterized. The transcript is spliced from 3 exons. Lineage: Eukaryota; Metazoa; Chordata; Mammalia; Rodentia; Sciuridae. The record is from RefSeq and is a predicted model, not a curated record.